Molecule: ribosomal RNA, 253 nt
Filed under: uncultured bacterium
Lineage: Bacteria
Description: partial 16S ribosomal RNA
Rfam family: Bacterial small subunit ribosomal RNA
Source: RNAcentral
UACAGAGGUCUCAAGCGUUGUUCGGAUUCAUUGGGCGUAAAGGGUGCGUAGGUGGCGCGGUAAGUCGGGUGUGAAAUUUCGGAGCUUAACUCCGAAACUGCAUUCGAUACUGCCGUGCUUGAGGACUGGAGAGGAGACUGGAAUUUACGGUGUAGCAGUGAAAUGCGUAGAGAUCGUAAGGAAGACCAGUGGCGAAGGCGGGUCUCUGGACAGUUCCUGACACUGAGGCUCGAAAGCGUGGGGAGCAAACAGG